Gallus gallus (chicken) is the source of this 3707-nucleotide long non-coding RNA. RefSeq lists it as uncharacterized. The transcript has 10 exons. NCBI's taxonomy places the organism in Eukaryota, Metazoa, Chordata, Aves, Galliformes, Phasianidae. The record is from RefSeq and is a predicted model, not a curated record.
GCCCCAGCCGCCAUUUUUAUUGCUGGCAGGCGGCCGCGCUUACCUGCGCGCUCGCUGGGGUACUGCGGGCCGGCGCGGCGGCUGUCUGUGAAAAUGGUGCGGCUGAAGGAGCCCAGUCGGCGCCGCAGAGGCUCGGGCAGCGACAUGCCGCGGGCCGCUGUCGGCCUGGAGACGGGGCGGGGGCGCGCAGGCGCGGUGGAAGACGUGGAGCUCCGCCAGAGGUGCCGGGGCGAAGCGCAGUGCGGGGCUGAUUCCUUCUGGGAAGGAGGGAUGCGUGCAGGAAAUUGCGCUCCGCACCGCCAGAAUGAAGGAGCAGCUCGUGCCCUGCACUACAAGGAGUGAUAACAGCAGUGGUUUCACUGCGCCUAAUGUGACACGUCAGUUCCCAUCUCCCAAAUCCCCCCCAUUUCCUCUCUCCUUUCCCAAAAUCGCAUUUUGCUACUUUCCCGGGUGAUCAUUCUCCAGUAUGACUUUCCAAACUCAAUUACCUCUGAAUAAUUUAAAGCCUAGUUUAAAUUUAAUUUCUUUCUAUCCCACUGGGAAAACUGCAGAAAGAGACGGCCGAUAAAGCUCGAGUUCUGAGAAAUCCAUUUGGCUUAUGGGCAGGCGGACGGGUGCUGUGUGACUGCAGACAUUUUUCAUACAGUUCUGCAAGCAGAUGUGGCAGCAGGAAUCGGCACCAAGCCUUCCCCCCCCAAAUACAAACCAACCAACCAACCGCAAAACCCAAGCAAACCAACCUGAAGACCUUCAGAAGAGAUGAGGAGGAAGGGAUUUUCAAAUGGCAAGAGAUUGGAAGGGAGAAGGACAGGUUGGAGAGCACCUACUCAAGUUUCAAGAGGAUAUUAAAACUUCAUGGAUUAGAACACCUGGACAGGUCAGAGUUUCCUUGUGACUAGUGGAAGGAAGAAAGAGGUUUAACUGUUAAGUGACUGUAACAGUUACGAUGUCCAUCUGUAAAGACAACUUGGUUCCUCUGUAUUAAAGACACCUGGACUGGAUUUAUGGUGCUUCAAAUGGAUGCAUGUUUGGCCCUAAAACUCAUCCCCUGCCAUACUUCUGGGAAGGACUGCAACUUUUCUGUAUCUCUAAAGUUUUGGAGCAAUCGUGGCAGCUAGGUGAAAAGUGAGCUGGGUGGGAGGAACCAGGCUGCAGCACAAAUACAAUCAGGGGAGAGUGCUUCAGUCCUGCAGCACUGCCAGUGCUCACUGGUGCAGGAAUUUGCUGGAUCCAGGUGUCCCAGUUCCACUGAAGUUCAGUGGAUGUCCUGGCUGCAGGGAGUCUGUCACAUACACCAUGCUGUUGUAAACACGUGGCACAACUUCCCAAGACGUCCCUUGAGGAGCACAGGCAGCACUCCUGGGCAGUACGUGCAGCGGGAGGCACACCUUGAAGCCAUCCUCCUGAAGCUAGCAUUGAUGCUAAAUGCCUCUGUGCCAAUCACACUACUGCAGCAAACACUAAAUGAAUUUGAUGGUGAACACUUACAUUCUUACCUUUCUCGAUAACUCUAUGUUAAUAUUACAUUAAUUAUUCCUGAAUUACAAUGCUGUUGAAUGUUGAUAAAGCUGAAUUCCUUCUUGAAAUGCUGAUCCUGACAGUCCUGUGGCAGGCACUAAAAUGUGCUUUCCAAGUCUUAGGGGAAAAGGGGAAUAUAUUACUACUUCUGAUGAGAGGACUUCAGAAGAAACAUAUUCUAGUCACAUCUUGUGGAGCACUCGCCUGAAUCCCUCUUGCUUUCAGUAGCAGAUGCCUUUGCAUAAGACAUAAAAGGAAUAUACUCAUCACUUUUUUAGUUAAAAUUUUAUAGUGAUUGCUGAUGUAGAAUCAGUCCAGCGUGUGUGAACUGUUCCCCACAACAAGGAAGCUGUGUGCAUACGGAGCUGAUCCUUGCCUCAUGAGAGCUGAUACACGGGAGCAAAGCUGGCAGGACGAACACGGAGAGAUCACUUCUUACUUGCAUCACCUUCUCUGCAGUUUUGGAUCUGAGCUCUCUGACAACGCUGUCAGGACUCAUUUCUGCACACCUACUGCUCACCUGAGACAUCCCUUGUGUAAUACUGCAAUUUUCAUGCUGAACCACAUGACAGAGUGAGACUGCCAGAUGUGGGAAAUUACGGUACUUAAUUUCCAAAUGACCGUAGCAUGGAAGAAAAGGGGUUUGGGAUAAAAUUACCAGAACACCUACAUAGCUUAGGAAGUCCCAGCCAUAAGUAAUUGGAACAAUCUCUGCGGUGACCACAAGUACUGAGAUGGAAGUACCUGCACAGGCUGGUGCUCUGAUGAACACCCAUCAAAGGCUUCAGUAGCUGUGUUAAUGGAGUGUCCCAUCAGCUACAUUCAACUAAGCCAGUCCAAAGCCCCCAGUCCAGGCUCCUCAUAGGUGCUGUGGGGGAAAUAAGCAGCUGUGACAUCUCUCAGUACCUCCAUACCUCCCCAGAGUCUGGAUAACUGGUGUGGCAGGGGAAGUGAUCAGAGGGAGAGGAGAAAUGCUCAUAAAGCGGGCUUCUGCGGUGGGUGUGUGCAGGUUGUUUUUUUUCUUUAACCUUCCCUUCUCUUGCACAAGCACCCAGUGUGGCUUUCACUGGAGGGAAAGUGUUCCAUCUCUCAGGGGGUGUUUGAGGUUUCUGUUUAUUUGUUUAUUAAAAAAAGGAAAGCAUCUGGCAUAUGUGUACAAACAUUAAUGAAUCAUUUAAAAUAUUCUCAGUGCUGCGCUAGUGUGACUUCCAGCUAUGAGAAGAAAACGAGAUGGAAGGGAGCAGACAGACCCCAAAGGACUGCUUUCCAAGCAUAGGAUGGGGCAGCUGCUGAAUCACGCACAGAAAUGUUCCCAGGAGAGAGAGAAGAGAAUUACUUCCUCGGGCAGUAGUAGCAGCAAAGGGCAGUGUAUGGGAACUGUUGAGUCACAGCCUGAACCUCUGAUUGAUCACCUGAAGAAAGAACUGAGUCAGCCGUGGGAGCACAGGUGAAGGCAAUUCACCUGUGUGACCUGAAGGGGUGGAGCCUGGCUGCACCUCUCCUGGACCCCAUAGAAGGGCCGACUGCCACUGGGGAAGGAUCUCUUUCUGGAGAUUGCUCCUUUUGGAGUUUUCUAUUGUGAGCCUUGAUCCUUGGAUAUGGCCUGAUGUGUCACAGCACAGCUUGGAGAUGAGAUGUGACACUGUCUUGGAGCUUGAGGUCUGUCUGUCCGGGCCCAGGAAGAUGGAUGGCUUUGCGGUGUUGUUUGAAAGCUGCACUGACCUCAAGAAGGAGCCCUGAUUGCGGUGCCAGCACAACAGCAGACAGCAGGGGAGGAAAUCGAGGCGAGCACCCCUGGUGCACAUGUGGAUGGCUGAUGCUGCCAUUUCCUAUUUUUAUCCUGAUUCACCGCUCCUGGGAACGGAGAGUGAAAGCUGGGUUACAAGGUGCUUGCUAACUGAGGCUUCGUGGUCAGCAUAUAUCACUAGUGGAUGAGUCUGGCGUUUGUCAAGCCCCAGAACAUGAUGAACAACCCAUUACCACCAGAGUAAUGGAGAGGUCUGAACGUCCACAAAUGACAACCGGGAGCAAUUGAAGUAUGAUGGGGAAGGAGGAUGGGCUGCAGCUCCAGGUGAAAAGAAGAAUUGGAUCAACAGCUGAUACUGAGAGAGGCAGGAGGUUUUCACUCCCUUCAAGACUCCAUAUUGUAUGUUUUUCCAGACUAUCCUAUAAAUAAAAAGUCAUUAAGA